AGGACGAACGCUGGCGGCGUGCUUAACACAUGCAAGUCGAACGGUAAGGCCCCUUCGGGGGUACACGAGUGGCGAACGGGUGAGUAACACGUGAGUAACCUACCCUUGACUCUGGGAUAACAUCUGGAAACAGGUGCUAAUACCGGAUAUUCAACCCUUGACUCAUGUUUUGGGUUGGAAAGCUCCGGCGGUCAUGGAUGGACUCGCGGCCUAUCAGCUUGUUGGUGAGGUAAUGGCUCACCAAGGCUUCGACGGGUAGCCGGCCUGAGAGGGCGACCGGCCACAUUGGGACUGAGAUACGGCCCAAACUCCUACGGGAGGCAGCAGUGGGGAAUAUUGCACAAUGGGCGAAAGCCUGAUGCAGCAACGCCGCGUGCGGGAUGACGGCCUUCGGGUUGUAAACCGCUUUCACCCAUGACGAAGCUAACGUGACGGUAGUGGGAGAAGAAGCACCGGCUAACUACGUGCCAGC
Molecule: ribosomal RNA, 472 nt
Filed under: Luteococcus sp. l37
Lineage: Bacteria; Bacillati; Actinomycetota; Actinomycetes; Propionibacteriales; Propionibacteriaceae
Description: bacterial SSU rRNA
Rfam family: Bacterial small subunit ribosomal RNA
Source: RNAcentral